Molecule: ribosomal RNA, 531 nt
Filed under: uncultured bacterium
Lineage: Bacteria
Description: bacterial SSU rRNA
Rfam family: Bacterial small subunit ribosomal RNA
Source: RNAcentral
UGGGGAAUAUUGCACAAUGGGCGCAAGCCUGAUGCAGCGACGCCGCGUGGGGGAUGACGGCCUUCGGGUUGUAAACUCCUUUCGCCAGGGACGAAGCGUUUUGUGACGGUACCUGGAGAAGAAGCACCGGCUAACUACGUGCCAGCAGCCGCGGUAAUACGUAGGGUGCAAGCGUUGUCCGGAAUUACUGGGCGUAAAGAGCUCGUAGGUGGUUUGUCACGUCGUCUGUGAAAUUCCACAGCUUAACUGUGGGCGUGCAGGCGAUACGGGCUGACUUGAGUACUGUAGGGGUAACUGGAAUUCCUGGUGUAGCGGUGAAAUGCGCAGAUAUCAGGAGGAACACCGAUGGCGAAGGCAGGUUACUGGGCAGUUACUGACGCUGAGGAGCGAAAGCAUGGGUAGCAAACAGGAUUAGAUACCCUGGUAGUCCAUGCCGUAAACGGUGGGCGCUAGGUGUAGGGGCCUUUUGGGGUUUCUGUGCCGUAGCUAACGCAUUAAGCGCCCCGUCUGGGGAGUACGGCCGCAAGGCUA